This 908-nucleotide long non-coding RNA is filed under the name Medicago truncatula (barrel medic). RNAcentral's name for it is "long non-coding RNA (MTRU_LNC002086)". The record is from RNAcentral. Lineage: Eukaryota; Viridiplantae; Streptophyta; Magnoliopsida; Fabales; Fabaceae.
CGUUCCUAAGAAGCUUGCAAAAUAUGCAUGUAAGAGUCUAUCUUAAUUCAACAAUGAAGGCUCCGUUUGUGCUCUCUGUUCACUUAAUUUUUCUAAUAUAAUUAUGCUUAUUCACUAGAUUCAAAGCAUUGCUUUACAAUUUUGUUUUCUUACUAAUGCAUUGAUUUGGUGAACUCUUCAACGAGAUUUAUUUUGGUUUUUUAUUUUCUACUUUGCCUUUAUGCUGAUACAAAGUAUUUUCAACGUUCCUCUAUGGUUUUACUUUUUGUACCUAUUAUUUAGGAUAAUUUCUCAAUCUACCCAAAAACACAGGAGGGUUACCAAAACCGUACUUCUCUACUUAUUUCAAAUUAUUUAAACAACAAAUACUAUAACAAGGUGCACCCAAUAACAAUAUGUUAUUCACUUUUUUUUUUUUUUUUUUUACAUAACACCUUGAUGAUAGUUAAGUUUUUUCCUGUAACAUUGUUUUACUCAUAAUCAAGUGCCGAGGUUAAAGAAAAAGGUGAUAUGAGUCUCUCAUGGAUGCUAAAUUACCAUUUUUAUGUUUACUCAUUUGUUUGAUGUUUAUAAUUGAAAUUGGAUUUUACAAAUGUUUUAUUCAACUUUUAUUAUAGAUAAUUAACUUUGAAUUACUUUGUUGUGUUUUUAUUACUCAGCAGGCACACAAAGUUGUUGAAUUGAAGAGGACUUACCAAAUCAUCAAGUGGGGAAUUUUAUGAGUCGCAUGAGUUUGCAACUAGAGUUUUGCAAAAGUGGAUGGAAGUUCUAUUCACCUUUUAUUACGGAUAAGUUACUUUGAGUUACUGUGAUGUGUUCUUAAAAACACGGUAUUAGUCCAGUAAUAUAGUUACAACAAGUCUAUGUAUAGAUUAUGAGUAAUUUUUAAUUUAAUUUUUUAAACCAAA